UUGAUCAUGGCUCAGGAUGAACGCUAGCGACAGGCUUAACACAUGCAAGUCGAGGGGCAGCGGGGGCGUAGCAAUAUGCCUGCCGGCGACCGGCGCACGGGUGAGUAACACGUAUGUAACCUGCCCUAUGCAGGGGGAUAACCCGGAGAAAUCCGGCCUAAUACCGCGUAACACCUUUUGGGAGCAUUUCUGGGAGGUUAAAGGAGAGAUCCGGCAUAGGAUGGACAUGCGUCGCAUUAGGUAGACGGCGGGGUAACGGCCCACCGUGCCGACGAUGCGUAGGGGUUCUGAGAGGAAGGCCCCCCACACUGGUACUGAGACACGGACCAGACUCCUACGGGAGGCAGCAGUGAGGAAUAUUGGUCAAUGGCCGAGAGGCUGAACCAGCCAAGUCGCGUGAGGGAAGAAUGUCCUAAGGAUUGUAAACCUCUUUUGUCGGGGAGCAAAAAGGCUCUGCGGAGUCGUAUUGAGAGUACCCGAAGAAAAAGCAUCGGCUAACUCCGUGCCAGCAGCCGCGGUAAUACGGAGGAUGCGAGCGUUAUCCGGAUUUAUUGGGUUUAAAGGGUGCGCAGGCGGCGUGUCAAGCAANGCGGUAAAAAUAGCGGGGCUCAACCCCCGUCGAGCCGUUUGAACUGGCGCGCUUGAGUUCAGGCGAGGUAGGCGGAAUUCGUGGUGUAGCGGUGAAAUGCAUAGAUAUCACGAAGAACUCCGAUUGCGAAGGCAGCUUACCAGUCUGCGACUGACGCUCAGGCACGAAAGUGUGGGUAUCGAACAGGAUUAGAUACCCUGGUAGUCCACACAGUAAACGAUGAGCGCUAGGUGUCCGGGUCGCAUGAGACUUGGGAGCCCGAGCGAAAGCGUUAAGCGCUCCACCUGGGGAGUACGCCGGCAACGGUGAAACUCAAAGGAAUUGACGGGGGCCCGCACAAGCGGAGGAACAUGUGGUUUAAUUCGAUGAUACGCGAGGAACCUUACCCGGGCUCAAACGACUCAGGAAUAUAUUGGAAACGAUGUAGCCAGCAAUGGUCUGAGUCGAGGUGCUGCAUGGUUGUCGUCAGCUCGUGCCGUGAGGUGUCGGCUUAAGUGCCAUAACGAGCGCAACCCCUACCGCCAGUUGCCAACGGGUAAAGCCGGGAACUCUGGCGGGACUGCCGGCGCAAGCUGCGAGGAAGGCGGGGAUGACGUCAAAUCAGCACGGCCCUUACGUCCGGGGCGACACACGUGUUACAAUGGCAGGUACAGCGGGAAGCCACCUGGUGACAGGGAGCGGAACCCGAAAGCCUGUCUCAGUUCGGAUUGGAGUCUGCAACUCGACUCCAUGAAGCUGGAUUCGCUAGUAAUCGCGCAUCAGCCAUGGCGCGGUGAAUACGUUCCCGGGCCUUGUACACACCGCCCGUCAAGCCAUGGGAGCCGGGGGUGCCUGAAGUACGUGACCGCGAGGAGCGUCNUAGGGCAAAACUGGUGACUGGGGCUAAGUCGUAA
This 1482-nucleotide ribosomal RNA is filed under the name uncultured bacterium. Its description in RNAcentral is "16S ribosomal RNA". It matches the Rfam family "Bacterial small subunit ribosomal RNA". The record is from RNAcentral.